Trachemys scripta elegans is the source of this 1896-nucleotide long non-coding RNA. RefSeq lists it as uncharacterized. The transcript has 6 exons. NCBI's taxonomy places the organism in Eukaryota, Metazoa, Chordata, Testudines, Emydidae. The record is from RefSeq and is a predicted model, not a curated record.
UGCUCGGCCCACUGAGCAGCCAAAACGAGUUGAUGGAUCCAUUAGGCCGCUCAGAAUGCUUUCCCCCUCUCCCUCCAUUCCUGAGUGACACUGUAAAUCUGAGCCAAUUUCAGUCCCUAAUCAUCAUUACAAACCCCUCCACUGUUCAUUUAUUACUCUACAAUUCUAAUACAGCACACGAAUGGGUCAGCACACAGGGAGCCAACACAACUGCACAGACAGGCUUAAAGAGCCCAUAAUCCUUCCCAGCCUUUAUCUGGGAAGCAAACCUGAUUCCACUCCCAGCUCCCAAAGCCUGCUCUGGACUGGCGUUCAGAUGAAGUCUGCCUGGCCUGGAGAUCAGGAACAAGGGCUAUUUAGUUGCUAGGAAUUGGAGUGAGGGCUGCAUGGCAGAGGGAGAGGAAACAUCUGUCAGAUGUAGGCAUCAAAGGGAGACCUGGGGUAGGGGUCACAGCCAUGGCUGCCUGCUUUAGAAAUCGUAGUGCUGUGUGAUUCCUGCAACGUCUGUCUGGCAGGGGGCUGGGAUCAGCAGGAGGGAUGCCUGGCACAGGGACCAAAAUUAAGAUAAUUUGGCUUGGUUAUUGGAUUGACAGCUGUCUGGCGUGGCGGUCGCGUGGCAGAGAUGUGGCAGGGUGAUGGCUUGAUGGCUGUGUGAAAUGGCCACCAUGUGUCAGGUAUCUGGUAAAGCGAUCAGAGUUUUGAGUCUGUCUAAUGCGCUUGCCUGUGUAAGUUUUGCCUAGCAAGGAGCGAAUGCAUCAUGUGUGCUACUGGGAAGAUCUUGAUCACUCUGGGCAGGUGGCUCAUGAGGGGUUAUUUGUGCUACCUAACUGAUGGCUUAUCAAGAUUCUCCUUUAGCUCGAGAAAGAAAGCCCCUGCCACUGGAUUCACGGGUUCCCGACUCGGGUCUUUGCAAAGAUGAAUACGUCAUACCAGGUUCAACCCUCCCUUGUGGGGAAGAUCAUUUAGUUACGGUGAGAUGAUGUAACAGACCUGGCGUGUGCAGCUGCAUGUCAUGAGACCACAAGGGGAGGCAGUCAAUGUCACCUCUAUUGCUGUCAAACCCUUCUCGAGGCAGUGAUGGCUUUUCAGGGACCCUCCACCAGAUACACAAGAGUUUUCUAGGGCACAACGUAGCAACCCUGAGAAAGAUUCCCUCUUCCAUUGCUGUGCAAAUCACAGUGAAUCUUCUAAGAUGCCCUGCAGACAGUGCUAAUCCUCAGCAGAAGGCGUGGUCAUAGGAGCCGAUGGAUAUGCCAGACCAGCAUGGUACACAGAUUUAUUGGGACCUUUGACAUUCCAGGAUAGAAUUUUCAUAUUCAGGUCUAAAACUGACUGGCUAGUGCGUCCAAAGGAGAUGAAGCUCGCUGCAGGAGAAUUCAUGAAAGAUUUCCAACAGACAUGAUUCUAGUCCAUCCGUUCUAGGAGCUAGCGAGUGAACCCAGAGAGGCGACUGGCUCAGACUCACAAUGAUAAACAUGUCAAGCGUGUCUGACAUUAACACCACGAACUGACAGCACAAAGGCAGCAUCUGGAUGGCAUAGCCUGUGGCUCUCGAGUCACGGCUGGUGGACUUGUGGUACAUUCAGAUAUAUUCAUUAAAACACUAAUCAAGCAGAAGCUCAUUUGUGGAAUUGUCUUGGAAUAAAAAAAAAUGGCCAAAGUAAAACUGCUGCAGUCCUGAACUACUCCUGCGAUAAAAGAGAUUUGACAGCCCAAUCCAGUUAACUCCAUCAUUGCUUUUUGACGGCGAAUCCGUUUUUGUCAGUAUGUAGUGAAACGUUAAGACUCUACCACCCAGGUACAAUAUAUCAGGCUACAGCAGAGAACAGGAGUGUAUUUGCUUUGACAUGUUGUACCUGGCUUCUUGUUCAGCAAAAAAAAAAGGAAAAAGAAAGA